CCUUUUGUAUAAUGGGUCAGCGACUUAUAUUCUGUAGCAAGGUUAACCGAAUAGGGGAGCCGAAGGGAAACCGAGUCUUAACUGGGCGUUAAGUUGCAGGGUAUAGACCCGAAACCCGGUGAUCUAGCCAUGGGCAGGUUGAAGGUUGGGUAACACUAACUGGAGGACCGAACCGACUAAUGUUGAAAAAUUAGCGGAUGACUUGUGGCUGGGGGUGAAAGGCCAAUCAAACCGGGAGAUAGCUGGUUCUCCCCGAAAGCUAUUUAGGUAGCGCCUCGUGAAUUCAUCUCCGGGGGUAGAGCACUGUUUCGGCAAGGGGGUCAUCCCGACUUACCAACCCGAUGCAAACUGCGAAUACCGGAGAAUGUUAUCACGGGAGACACACGGCGGGUGCUAACGUCCGUCGUGAAGAGGGAAACAACCCAGACCGCCAGCUAAGGUCCCAAAGUCAUGGUUAAGUGGGAAACGAUGUGGGAAGGCCCAGACAGCCAGGAUGUUGGCUUAGAAGCAGCCAUCAUUUAAAGAAAGCGUAAUAGCUCACUGGUCGAGUCGGCCUGCGCGGAAGAUGUAA
This 571-nucleotide ribosomal RNA is filed under the name Escherichia coli. RNAcentral's name for it is "partial 23S ribosomal RNA". It matches the Rfam family "Bacterial large subunit ribosomal RNA", at positions 604 to 1175 of the family's 2925-position model. Lineage: Bacteria; Pseudomonadati; Pseudomonadota; Gammaproteobacteria; Enterobacterales; Enterobacteriaceae. The record is from RNAcentral.